This 84-nucleotide transfer RNA is filed under the name Oligoflexales bacterium. RNAcentral describes it as "tRNA-Leu". It matches the Rfam family "tRNA". Rfam says of the family: Transfer RNA (tRNA) molecules are approximately 80 nucleotides in length. Their secondary structure includes four short double-helical elements and three loops (D, anti-codon, and T loops). Further hydrogen bonds mediate the characteristic L-shaped molecular structure. tRNAs have two regions of fundamental functional importance: the anti-codon, which is responsible for specific mRNA codon recognition, and the 3' end, to which the tRNAs corresponding amino acid is attached (by aminoacyl-tRNA synthetases). tRNAs cope with the degeneracy of the genetic code in two manners: having more than one tRNA (with a specific anti-codon) for a particular amino acid; and 'wobble' base-pairing, i.e. permitting non-standard base-pairing at the 3rd anti-codon position. Lineage: Bacteria; Pseudomonadati; Bdellovibrionota; Oligoflexia; Oligoflexales. The record is from RNAcentral.
GCGACGGUGCUGAAAUUGGUAGACAGGCUGGUCUCAGAAGCCAGUGUCCGCAAGGACGUGAGAGUUCAAGUCUCUCUCGUCGCA